GGAAAGAGGUAUCAAGAUGCAGCAAGAAGGUGCAAGAUGUAUCAAGAUGUAGCAUGAGGUAGCUGGAGGUAGGGAGAUGGAGCGGGAGGUAUCAAGAUGCAGCAAGGUAUGGAAAGAGGUAUCAAGAUGCAGCAAGGUAUGGAAAGAGGUAUCAAGAUGCAGAGAAGGUAUGGAAAGAGGUAUCAAGAUGCAGCAAGAAGGUGCAAGAUGUAUCAAGAUGUAGCAAGAGGUAGCUGGAGGUAGGGAGAUGGAGCGGGAGGUAUCAAGAUGCAGCAAGGUAUGGAAAGAGGUAUCAAGAUGCAGCAAGAAGGUGCAAGAUGUAUCAAGAUGUAGCAUGAGGUAGCUGGAGGUAGGGAGAUGUAGCGGGAGGUAUCAAGAUGCAGCAAGGUAUGGAAAGAGGUAUCAAGAUGCAGCAAGGUAUGGAAAGAGGUAUCAAGAUGCAGCAAGAUGUGGAAAGAGGUAUCAAGAUGCAGCAAGAAGGUGCAAGAUGUAUCAAGAUGUAGCAUGAGGUAGCUGGAGGUAGGGAGAUGGAGCGGGAGGUAUCAAGAUGCAGCAAGGUAUGGAAAGAGGUAUCAAGAUGCAGCAAGGUAUGGAAAGAGGUAUCAAGAUGCAGCAAGGUAUGGAAAGAGGUAUCAAGAUGCAGCAAGAAGGUGCAAGAUGUAUCAAGAUGUAGCAUGAGGUAGCUGGAGGUAGGGAGAUGGAGCGGGAGGUAUCAAGAUGCAGCAAGGUAUGGAAAGAGGUAUCAAGAUGCAGCAAGGUAUGGAAAGAGGUAUCAAGAUGCAGCAAGGUAUGGAAAGAGGUAUCAAGAUGCAGCAAGGUAUGGAAAGAGGUAUCAAGAUGCAGCAAGGUAUGGAAAGAGGUAUCAAGAUGCAGCAAGAAGGUGCAAGAUGUAUCAAGAUGUAGCAUGAGGUAGCUGGAGGUAGGGAGAUGGAGCGGGAGGUAUCAAGAUGCAGCAAGGUAUGGAAAGAGGUAUCAAGAUGCAGCAAGGUAUGGAAAGAGGUAUCAAGAUGCAGCAAGGUAUGGAAAGAGGUAUCAAGAUGCAGCAAGGUAUGGAAAGAGGUAUCAAGAUGCAGCAAGGUAUGGAAAGAGGUAUCAAGAUGCAGCAAGAAGGUGCAAGAUGUAUCAAGAUGUAGCAUGAGGUAGCUGGAGGUAGGGAGAUGGAGCGGGAGGUAUCAAGAUGCAGCAAGAUGUGGAAAGAGGUAUCAAGAUGCAGCAAGAAGGUGCAAGAUGUAUCAAGAUGUAGCAAGAUGUGGAAAGAGGUAUCAAGAUGCAGCAAGGUAUGGAAAGAGGUAUCAAGAUGCAGCAAGAAGGUGCAAGAGGUAUCAAGAUGCAUCAAGAAGGUGCAAGAUGUAUCAAGAUGUAGCAUGAGGUAGCUGGAGGUAGGGAGAUGGAGCGGGAGGUAUCAAGAUGCAGCAAGAUGUGGAAAGAGGUAUCAAGAUGCAGCAAGAAGGUGCAAGAUGUAUCAAGAUGUAGCAUGAGGUAGCUGGAGGUAGGGAGAUGGAGCGGGAGGUAUCAAGAUGCAGCAAGGUAUGGAAAGAGGUAUCAAGAUGCAGCAAGGUAUGGAAAGAGGUAUCAAGAUGCAGCAAGGUAUGGAAAGAGGUAUCAAGAUGCAGCAAGGUAUGGAAAGAGGUAUCAAGAUGCAGCAAGGUAUGGAAAGAGGUAUCAAGAUGCAGCAAGAAGGUGCAAGAUGUAUCAAGAUGUAGCAUGGGGUAGCUGGAGGUAGGGAGAUGGAGCGGGAGGUAUCAAGAUGCAGCAAGGUAUGGAAAGAGGUAUCAAGAUGCAGCAAGGUAUGGAAAGAGGUAUCAAGAUGCAGCAAGGUAUGGAAAGAGGUAUCAAGAUGCAGCAAGAAGGUGCAAG
RNAcentral lists this long non-coding RNA (1857 nucleotides) under Haliotis rufescens (red abalone). Its description in RNAcentral is "uncharacterized LOC124122339, transcript variant X3". The record is from RNAcentral. Lineage: Eukaryota; Metazoa; Mollusca; Gastropoda; Lepetellida; Haliotidae.